Long non-coding RNA from Diorhabda carinulata, 852 nucleotides. RefSeq lists it as uncharacterized. The transcript is spliced from 2 exons. The record is from RefSeq and is a predicted model, not a curated record. Lineage: Eukaryota; Metazoa; Arthropoda; Insecta; Coleoptera; Chrysomelidae.
GAUACCAAAUCAUUAAGUAAUGCAAACAGUGAAGUUAUUGAACAUGAGAAAACAAAUUCCUCGCAGUCACCAUCCCAACGGACUGUCACACCAAUUUCAAGUACAGUUAGAUGUAGAAGGACUCUUUUUAAGGACGUUGAAGGCUUGUGUUCAACACAGAUAACACCAAGAAAGCAAAAGUUGAUGGUUAUUGUGAACAGGAAGCAGGGUCGCAUAAGAAAAUUACAAAAAGUUUGCAAACAAAAAGGGAAAAGGAUUAAAACUUUAGAAAAUAUAGCAAUGAAUAAUUGUUUCAAAGGCAUGCCAUCUACCAUAUCUAACUUUAUGAUGUCUCAGAUUCGAUUUAGAGAAUAAGCUACCGAUUAUUUGUGAAAAGAAUAACCUACAAGAUGUAGCAACAAAUUUGCUUAACCAAGAAAUUGAUUUCUCAUUUAUUACUUGUGAGGAACAUUUUUAUUUUUUGAAAGAUUUUUUACUUAAAAGUAUAUGUAGAAUCGGAAUCCCAUGGUACUGUACAAGACUUGUCCGAAAUUUAAGAUCUGAAGCCAGCCGGCAAAUGUCAGCACGCACAAAAAGAAAAAUUUUGCAUAAAUAAUAACAAUACCAUUAAAUGUCUACUUCUUGGACAAUUCAUACACCUACAGUACCAUCAAAUUCUGAUUCAUUGGGUCCACAUUUACAAACAACUUUGUCCUCUUGCAUAACGUUUUGUUUCAGUUUUCUUGGAAUCCCUAUGAUCUAAUGUUACUAGUUCUCAUUCAGUCUGUGUUUGUUAUGAAAAGAUGUGGCAUAGCAUUAUUAUUAUUGUGAAUCUUUGUUGUACUUAUGCAAAUACAAUUUGACAAAGCUCAA